GAUGAACGCUGGCGGCGUGCCUAAUACAUGCAAGUCGAGCGAACAGACGAGGAGCUUGCUCCUCUGACGUUAGCGGCGGACGGGUGAGUAACACGUGUAUAACCUACCUAUAAGACUGGGAUCACUUCGGGAAACCGGCGCUAAUACCGGAUAAUAUAUUGAACCGCAUGGUUCAAUAGUGAAAGACGGUUUUGCUGUCACUUAUAGAUGGAUCCGCGCCGCAUUAGGUAGUUGGUAAGGUAACGGCUUACCAAGGCAACGAUGCGUAGCCGACCUGAGAGGGUGAUCGGCCACACUGGAACUGAGACACGGUCCAGGCGCCUACGAGAGGCAGCAGUAGGGAAUCUUACGCAGUGGGCGAAAGCCUGGCGGAGCAACGCCGCGUGAGUGAUGAAGGUCUUCGGAUCGUAAAACUCUGUUAUUAGGGAAGAACAAAUGUGUAAGUAACUAUGCACGUCUUGACGGUACCUAAUCAGAAAGCCACGGCUAACUACGUG
This 497-nucleotide ribosomal RNA is filed under the name uncultured bacterium. RNAcentral describes it as "partial 16S ribosomal RNA". It matches the Rfam family "Bacterial small subunit ribosomal RNA", at positions 28 to 507 of the family's 1533-position model. The record is from RNAcentral.